UGGCUGAGCGGUAAAGCGCUUGGCCUCUGAACCUGGGGUCCCGGGUUCGAAUCCCGG
Molecule: non-coding RNA, 57 nt
Organism: Biomphalaria glabrata
Lineage: Eukaryota; Metazoa; Mollusca; Gastropoda; Planorbidae
Source: Rfam